AGGUUACAGGUGCUGCCGCUGCAA
Molecule: non-coding RNA, 24 nt
Filed under: Arabidopsis thaliana (thale cress)
Lineage: Eukaryota; Viridiplantae; Streptophyta; Magnoliopsida; Brassicales; Brassicaceae
Source: RNAcentral